UUUGAAACACCGGUUCCCGUACAAUCACCGAAGUUAAGCAACGUUGAGCUUUGUCAGUACUUAGAUGGGUGAAUACCACGUGCUGUAA
This is a non-coding RNA of Acanthosepion pharaonis, 88 nucleotides long. The record is from the annotation of a GenBank genome assembly. NCBI's taxonomy places the organism in Eukaryota, Metazoa, Mollusca, Cephalopoda, Sepiida, Sepiidae.